Molecule: long non-coding RNA, 2362 nt
Filed under: Homo sapiens (human)
Lineage: Eukaryota; Metazoa; Chordata; Mammalia; Primates; Hominidae
Description: PREDICTED lncRNA (TCONS_00094493)
Source: RNAcentral
GGGGUCUCACUAUGUUGCCCAGGCUAGUGUUGAACAGCCUGUUGAACAGCUAGUGUUGAACAGAGGUAUCUUUUUUUUUUUUUUUUUUUUUUUUUUGAGACAGAGUCUUGCUCUCUGGCCUAGGCUGGAGUGCAGUGGUACAAUCUUGGCUCACUGCAACCUCUGACUCCUGGGUUCAAGCAAUUCUCCUUGCUUCAGCCUCCUGAAUAGCUGGGAUUACAGGCAUGUGCCACCAUGCCCAACUAAUGUUUGUAUUUUUAGUAGAGAUGGGGUUUCCCCAUCAUGGCCAGGCUGGUCUCAAACUCCUGGCCUCAAGUGAUCCACCCACCUCAGCUCCCAAAGUGCUGGGAUUACAGGUAUGAGCCAUCACGCCUGGCCUGAUGUAUCUUCUUUGGUCACUUUUUCCUCCUCCUUUCACUCUAGUCAUAACAUGGCACGGAAGUACAUGCAGUUUAGACAUUUGUUGCACUCAAUGAACAAAUCUUUGUUGUUUAUUUUAAAAUUCAAGACAAUUUUUUUGCAAAUGCUGAUUCAAAACGUACCAAUCCCCAUCUAUCAUGCCUAUGCCAAUACAAUCUGUCACAAAAAAGUUUGCUUCUCAUUGUCACAUAGCUAUGGGGACUGGUGGCCUUCUAAAAUCACUGUCCAGCUGCUGCAAGUGUGAGAAGCGGUAAGCUAGAGGAGACAGACGGCGUUGCCAUUAAAAACAAUUCAACUUCAUUUUAAUGUUGCUAUGUAAGUUCACAAUAAAAUCCCUGGAAGUUCAAAUUGGAAAGAGCAGUUUGGGGUCAUGGGCUCAACAAUAUAAAGGCAGAUUCAGUGAGGGGUAAGGGUAGUGGCUCUGGGGGCAGACUGACCUAGAUUUGAAUGCCAGUUGUACCAGACUCAAGACACCUUGGGUAAGUGGUUUUAUGAAGUACCUCAGUUCUUCAUCAGUAGAAAGAGUGCUAACACCUCCAUAAGACUUUUGUAUGGAUUGAGUAAGAUAAUGCAUGUUAAACCACUUGUAUAGUUUCUGGCUAACUGUAAACAAGAUGUUCUAGAAGUUCUAGUUAUCUUUUUUUUUUUUUUUUUUUUUUUUUUUUUAAGAGUCAGGUUCUCACUGUGCCACCAAGGUUGUAGUGCCGUGGUGUAAUCAUGGCUCAUUGCAGCCUUGAACUUCUGGGCUCAAGUGAUCCUCCCACCUCAACCUCCUGAGUAGCUGGGAAUACAGGCAUGCACCACCAUGCCUAAUUUUUUAGAGAUGGGGUCUUGCUAUAUUGCCCAGUCUGGCCUCAAGUAAUCCUCCUGCCUCAGCUUUCUGAAUUGCUGGGAUUAUCGGCAUGAGCCACUGUGCCCAGCUAAGCUGUGACUUUUGAGGCAACCCCUUCCCUUCCACAGAGUUUAGUUUCCUCAUUUGUAAAAUGAGGACAAACCUAGAUAUUUUUGGAAGUUUCUUCCAGUUCUAAUUGCCUAUGAUCAGAUCACAUCUGUUGCAGAGCUUCCUAAAAAGCCUGGAAAAAUGCAACUCUGCCCCCUGGUGGUUUGCAGCUCUCUAUUCAAGAUGCUAUAAAUCCCUCAUUGGCUUCAAGACCUCCCUACCAUUUUGGUUGCUGUACACUGAAGCCUCACUGGAUUGCAUGGUGGCUUCCCCAAAUUCCGUAUGCCUUAGGAUAUGAUGCUUGGCACACAGUUUUCCUUUAGUGCUCCUUUUAAUAAUUUUAUUAGUAUGGCCACAAGUUUGAUGUCUACAGUACAUGUUAACAUAGCUGAGUACAAAUAUUUGAAAUAAGUGUGGCAAGUUUUAAAAUGUCAACUCUGAGUUAUCAUGCAUGUCCCAUGCAUUUACAUCUGCAUCUGCAAACUGUACAAUUCAAUCUGUGCUUAUCCUCACUGGGUCUCCCUGUGUGCCUCAGCUAGGGCAGGGCAGGGGCUCUUGUGCGUUUUUUCAGACCCAGAUUUUCAAGAGCAACAGUGUUGAACUCUGGCAUGCCAUGGUGCAUGGUGGCAACACCGGGUUUAGCUUUGGUUCAGGUAAAAAUGCAGUGACCAACUAUUGCAUUUGUGUGAGUCACCUGAUUCCCCAGGGCCUGGGCUAGCACAAAGGGUAUUUUGAUAUCCCUGUAUGAGGCCCCUGGCAGUUUCUGAACCCGUUUCGUCCCACCGUGAAAGUCUAGAAGUGAGGUUCGCAGUCUUCUACCAUGCUGUCAGUGAUAUAGCUGGAACCAAGAUGGGAUUCGUAGUAACUCUUUUCAUCAAAGGUAUUAACAGUCCAACCAACAACCUGGAUUCCUUUAGCUGACCACUUCUUCAAGUAGGCCCUGGGGAAAGAGGAAAGCCAAUCCUGUUAGAAUAAUAAGCAGCUGUCUCAGGAAUCCAUAAU